UACGUAGGGUGCAAGCGUUGUCCGGAAUUAUUGGGCGUAAAGAGCUCGUAGGCGGUUCGUCGCGUCGGCUGUGAAAACCCGGAGCUCAACUCCGGGCCUGCAGUCGAUACGGGCGGACUUGAGUGUUGCAGGGGAGACUGGAAUUUACGGUGUAGCGGUGAAAUGCGUAGAUAUCGUAAGGAAGACCAGUGGCGAAGGCGGGUCUCUGGACAGUUCCUGACGCUGAGGCACGAAGGUCAGGGGAGCAAACGGG
RNAcentral lists this ribosomal RNA (253 nucleotides) under uncultured bacterium. Its description in RNAcentral is "partial 16S ribosomal RNA". It matches the Rfam family "Bacterial small subunit ribosomal RNA", at positions 524 to 776 of the family's 1533-position model. The record is from RNAcentral.